Molecule: long non-coding RNA, 1054 nt
Organism: Scylla paramamosain (green mud crab)
Lineage: Eukaryota; Metazoa; Arthropoda; Malacostraca; Decapoda; Portunidae
Exons: 3
Source: RefSeq, a predicted model, not a curated record
CUAUCAGUUAUUGGGUGAUGUGCGGCGCACUUGGCUGGGAUCGUAUUGCGUUUCGGUGCGCCGUGUGUUCAAGACUGAGUUCAGCUGGCGUCGACGAUGCUACUUCGGCUUGCUGAAGGUGUGUGGCCUCGCUGGCACUGGAAAGCCCCGCAUCUGUCUCCAAAGUCAUAAGGUUCACGUGAAGCACCACAAUGUCACCGUGAAUAAAUCAACCAGGACUGGAUACAAGAAUCAGCAGGAAUAUUGUGAUGUACAAGGCAACAGAAGGUGGUGAAAUACACCGCAAGAGAAACAGAUGAGCGUCGGGGGCAGAGAAGUCACUGCGCUGUGCUUGGACCACUGCGGUCACCACUGUGAGGCUAAUUGUUCGAUUAAGGUCCGAAUGAUUAACUUUAAUUUGUAGUAUUAUAUACAGUGUAAUUAAUCAUCAUAAUAUUGUAAGGAACACAAAGUCACGUGAGUGUAUCAGUAAAUAUGAAAACAUGAACACAUCUAUCAAGAAAGAAUAAGCCAAGAGCUCUUAGUGCCAAUAAACGUCUGCGCCAAACUCAUCCAUGGAACGCAGGCCUCCCGACGAGGUUAGUGGUCUGACCUUGGCAUUCCAACCCUACACACACACACACACACACACACACCGCGCGCUCGCGCGGCGUGCGUGCAUAUGUUUGUGUGUAUGUGUGUGUGUGUGUGUGUGUGUGUGUGUAAGAAUUGAACGCCAGCACUUGGAGGAAAUAUGUAUGUAUGGUGUAAUGAUAAAGAUGGAUGGUGGAGGUGGGUGGUGGUGUACUCGAUUACGAUUACAAUUACAUUAAAGUAUCACGACAACAACUCGGUUUUUUACUUUAAUUUGUCCUAGUCUGAGUAUUUUACAUGUACAAGUAUGUAUAAGCACAUUUUUACUGACGCCCUUAACUUUUUUUUUUUCUACAGCAUAGUGUGUGUGUGUGUGUGUGUGUGUGUGUGUGUGUGUGUGUGUGUGUUUCGUAGUAUAGCAUUGUAAUACGGAUAGUGCAAAUCUUAAAUGGCCGUCAUUUACCAAUGGCAGAUCACGAAA